CCUACGGGAGGCAGCAGUGAGGAAUAUUGGUCAAUGGACGAGAGUCUGAACCAGCCAAGUAGCGUGAAGGAUGACUGCCCUAUGGGUUGUAACCUUCUUUUAUAAAGGAAUAAAACGAGGCACGUGUGCCUUUUUGCAUGUACUUUAUGAAUAAGGAUCGGCUAACUCCGUGCCAGCAGCCGCGGUAAUACGGAGGAUCCGAGCGUUAUCCGGAUUUAUUGGGUUUAAAGGGAGCGUAGAUGGGUUGUUAAGUCAGUUGUGAAAGUUUGCGGCUCAACCGUAAAAUUGCAAUUGAUACUGGCAGUCUUGAGUACAGUAGAGGUAGGCGGAAUUCGUGGUGGAGCGGUGAAAUGCUUAGAUAUCACGAAGAACCCCGAUUGCGAAGGCAGCUUACUAAACUGUGACUGACAUUGAUGCUCGAAAGUGUGGGUAUCAAACAGGAUUAGAUACCCGUGUAGUC
Molecule: ribosomal RNA, 460 nt
Filed under: uncultured bacterium
Lineage: Bacteria
Description: partial 16S ribosomal RNA
Rfam family: Bacterial small subunit ribosomal RNA
Source: RNAcentral